RNAcentral lists this ribosomal RNA (492 nucleotides) under uncultured bacterium. Its description in RNAcentral is "partial 16S ribosomal RNA". It matches the Rfam family "Bacterial small subunit ribosomal RNA", at positions 29 to 507 of the family's 1533-position model. The record is from RNAcentral.
AGUGAACGCUGGCGGUAGGCCUAACACAUGCGAGUCGAACGGCAGCACAGUAAGAGCUUGCUCUUACGGGUGGCGAGUGGCGGACGGGUGAGGAAUACAUCGGAAUCUACUUUUUCGUGGGGGAUAACGUAGGGAAACUUACGCUAAUACCGCAUACGACCUACGGGUGAAAGCAGGGGAUCUUCGGACCUUGCGCGAUCGAAUGAGCCGAUGUCGGAUUAGCUAGUUGGCGGGGUAAAGGCCCACCAAGGCGACGAUCCGUAGCUGGUCUGAGAGGAUGAUCAGCCACACUGGAACUGAGACACGGUCCAGACUCCUACGGGAGGCAGCAGUGGGGAAUAUUGGACAAUGGGCGCAAGCCUGAUCCAGCCAUACCGCGUGGGUGAAGAAGGCCUUCGGGUUGUAAAGCCCUUUUGUUGGGAAAGAAAAGCAGCAGGUUAAUACCCCGCUGUUCUGACGGUACCCAAAGAAUAAGCACCGGCUAACUUCGUG